GAUGAACGCUAGCUACAGGCUUAACACAUGCAAGUCGCGGGGCAGCAUGGGGGUUGCUUGCCAUCCCUGAUGGCGACCGGCGCACGGGUGAGUAACGCGUAUCCAACCUGCCCUUCACCACGGGAUAACCCGGCGAAAGUCGGACUAAUACCGUAUGUUGUCCAUUGACGGCCUCCGAUUUGGACGAAAGGCUUAGCGGUGAGGGAUGGGGAUGCGUCCGAUUAGCUUGACGGCGGGGUAACGGCCCACCGUGGCUACGAUCGGUAGGGGUUCUGAGAGGAAGGUCCCCCACACUGGAACUGAGACACGGUCCAGACUCCUACGGGAGGCAGCAGUGAGGAAUAUUGGUCAAUGGGCGUAAGCCUGAACCAGCCAAGUAGCGUGCAGGAUGACGGCCCUAUGGGUUGUAAACUGCUUUUAUGCGGGGAUAAAGGGACCCACGUGUGGGUUUUUGCAGGUACCGCAUGAAUAAGGACCGGCUAAUUCCGUG
RNAcentral lists this ribosomal RNA (490 nucleotides) under uncultured bacterium. RNAcentral describes it as "partial 16S ribosomal RNA". It matches the Rfam family "Bacterial small subunit ribosomal RNA", at positions 28 to 507 of the family's 1533-position model. The record is from RNAcentral.